RNAcentral lists this ribosomal RNA (435 nucleotides) under uncultured bacterium. RNAcentral's name for it is "bacterial SSU rRNA". It matches the Rfam family "Bacterial small subunit ribosomal RNA", at positions 43 to 524 of the family's 1533-position model. The record is from RNAcentral.
CAGGCCUAACACAUGCAAGUCGAACGAUGCUUUCGGGCAUAGUGGCGCACGGGUGCGUAACGCGUGGGAAUCUGCCCCUUGGUUCGGAAUAACAGUUAGAAAUGACUGCUAAUACCGGAUAACGACGUAAGUCCAAAGAUUUAUCGCCGAGGGAUGAGCCCGCGUAGGAUUAGCUAGUUGGUGUGGUAAAGGCGCACCAAGGCGACGAUCCUUAGCUGGUCUGAGAGGAUGAUCAGCCACACUGGGACUGAGACACGGCCCAGACUCCUACGGGAGGCAGCAGUGGGGAAUAUUGGACAAUGGGCGCAAGCCUGAUCCAGCAAUGCCGCGUGAGUGAUGAAGGCCUUAGGGUUGUAAAGCUCUUUUACCCGGGAAGAUAAUGACUGUACCGGGAGAAUAAGCCCCGGCUAACUCCGUGCCAGCAGCCGCGGUAAU